This 515-nucleotide ribosomal RNA is filed under the name uncultured bacterium. RNAcentral's name for it is "partial 16S ribosomal RNA". It matches the Rfam family "Bacterial small subunit ribosomal RNA", at positions 28 to 523 of the family's 1533-position model. The record is from RNAcentral.
GACGAACGCUGGCGGCGUGCUUAACACAUGCAAGUCGAGCGAAUGGAUUAAGAGCUUGCUCUUAUGAAGUUAGCGGUGGACGGGUGAGUAACACGUGGGUAACCUGCCCAUAAGACUGGGAUAACUCCGGGAAACCGGGGCUAAUACCGGAUAACAUUUUGAACCGCAUGGUUCGAAAUUGAAAGGCGGCUUCGGCUGUCACUUAUGGAUGGACCCGGGUCGCAUUAGCUAGUUGGUGAGGUAACGGCUCACCAAGGCAACGAUGCGUAGCCGACCUGAGCGGGUGAUCGGCCACACUGGGACUGAGACACGUCCCAGACUCCUACGGGAGGCAGCAGUAGGGAAUCUUCCGCAAUGGACGAAAGUCUGACGGAGCAACGCCGCGUGAGUGAUGAAGGCUUUCGGGUCGUAAAACUCUGUUGUUAGGGAAGAACAAGUGCUAGUUGAAUAAGCUGGCACCUUGACGGUACCCAACCAGAAAGCCACGGCUAACUACGUGCCAGCCGCCGCAGUAA